Non-coding RNA from Nylanderia fulva, 796 nucleotides. The record is from RefSeq and is a predicted model, not a curated record. Lineage: Eukaryota; Metazoa; Arthropoda; Insecta; Hymenoptera; Formicidae.
UUGAUACUAACACGGAGAAUUAGUAUGUAUUGAAUUCUCGAACGGCACACAUCGUCUCUUGACCCACCACACGACUUAAUUUCAACGUACCUGUGUAAUAAAGUAAAGUUUUGUGGUGUAUUUAAGUUGACUAAUUUUUUCUAUAGGCAAAAAAAUCCUAGGAUCGAGUCCGAGAAAGACAGUGCCGGUUUGGGUGCUUGGCCGUUCCCGUGCAAACUCAAGAAAUAUGUAUUGCACCUGAUACGUUUCGGAAAAAAAGAUCACCUAAUCUAAAAUAUGCGAUUGGAAUGAUAGUUACACAUAAGUAUAAAAUGCGUGAUAAUACAUAUAUAUAUCCUUCUGGUGUCAUUAUUGGGUGGCACAACAAAGGCCACAUUCCAUGCUCUCCAUAUAAGAGAUUAUAUUGUACUCACAACGAUAUUAAACAAGAAUGUAUACAGAAAUAUAACAUCGAAGAUUGGGAAUUGCAACCAUACUACGUGUUGUUAAAUGAAUAUAACCUGGUGUUUUAUGUUUUACAAUGUGUUAUAACAUCGACAUACAAAGAAUGGAUAAACCAUAUAUUAAAAAGGGAUAAUCCAGAUAUUGGAAAAUUUUUCUGUAAAUUUAAAGUUACUCAUUAUGUGCCAAACAAAAUGCUAGAAAAACAUUAUCCAGAUUAUGCUGCAGUCGUUCGCGAAAUAUUGAGUAAUCAUAUUGUGUCGUUUUAAAAUAUGACUUGAUCAGACUUUCGGAAUAAAAUUCCAAGUUGUAUUCCAACAACGCAUUUAUCAGAAAUAAACUAGAAAUGACAGUA